AUGACCAGUGUCCUUAUAAAGAGAAGCUCAGACACAGACAUAUGUUUAUAGACAGAUGAGGGCGAAGCUUCUACAAGCCAAGGAACACCAAAGAUUGCCAGGAAACCACCACAGGCUGGGAGGGAGCCGUGGAACAGAUUUCCUUCACAGCCGCAGAGGGAGCCAACCCACUCUCCAAUUUGCAUCAAGCUUUGCUUUCGACAGCUCUUACCAGUUAAAGUGCACGACAGCCGUUGUCCAAGUGGCUUCCAGGGAGCAUCACUUGAUGUGGCCAGAAGAAACCCCACAGCCAGAGCUCACGAAACAGAGCACACGUGUGCGAUGUUGGCCAUGGUGUGCCGCCUCAUGGGAUCAGAAACCUAAACAUCUAAAAAUCCCAGGACGUCUUCAGAUCAGGGAAACCUGAUUUGGCAACAGCCUCCUUUCUGUGGCGCAUUAAUACUUAAAUGGAAAAUAGUCUUCUCUUAGCCAUGGUUAUGUAACACCUGAAAUAGGAGCUCAUUCAUAUUCAUGCACAUCUAUCCUAACAUGGUUCCCCUUUGUCCGUUAAACAACCUGAGAUCUUUUCCUCUUUUAGGGAAAGGAGGAGAUGGAGGUGGAGGAGACAGGAGUGGGAGGAGAGGAAAUCUCAGAUUUUUGAGUUUGAAAAUGAGAACACUGGGAAGUAGAAGAGUCUGGGGAAAUUCAAGUCCUCUCUCCAUGAGGUUUCAAAGAAGCUGAAAUGAAAGAGGAUGUCGUCAUAGCUUGUCUUGACACGUAUCAGAUAAAGCCAGAGCCCACCCCCUGCUUGCAGGCACCUUGCUGAAAUGUCCUGCAGGUCAGUAGGGGGAAUAAUCAGCAAACCUGUCACGGGAGCCAGCUAGUUAACUGCAUAGAUUGUGAUUUUGAUCUGAGAAGAGAUGAAGACUGAAGAGGCAAGAGGUUAAAAUCACUCUGGUCCCUAAGUGUUCCUUAAAUCUAGACUAAGAUAAAGCUGUAGUGAAGAUGGAAGAAAUGAGCCUCCUCUAUCAUUCUGUUAAACAGAAGGCGACAGAGAUCCAAAAGGUGAUGGCUGCAGAAGGGAAAGUGCUAACUUGGUUCCUUUUUGCUGACGGUGUAUUUGUAUUAAUAGUAACCUGGCCAUUCCAGUUAGAGGUUCAUCUCCAAAUAUCAGUGGGGAAACAUCUGGAGCAUGUGGAGCCAUCGCUAGGGCAUCUUUCAUCAGGUAAAUGAGCAAAAUUGUUACGAAGGAAUUUGUGGAAUCCAUCCAGGCUGCUUUAACAAAAUACCCUAGACGGGGUGUGGAGGGAAGGCUUAUAAAUGACGGAAAUAUAUUUCUUGAAGUUCUGGAGGCUGGAAGUCUGAGAUCAAGGUGUCCGCGAAUCCAGAUGUCUGGUGAGGACCUGCUUCCUCAUCCAUAGAUGGCAUCUUCUCCCCGUGUCCUCACAAGGUGGGAGGGCAAGGGAGGGAGGGAGCUGGGAUCUUUUAUAAGGGCACUAAUUCCAUUCCUUGGGCUCCAACUCAUGUCCUAAUCACCUCCCAAAGGUCCCACCUCCCAGUAAAAUCACAUUGAGGGGUAGGAUUUCAAGACACAAAUUUUGGAAGGAUGCAAAUAUUCAGUCCAUAACAGAGUGGAAACACAAGAUAAAAUACUGAAACACACUGAUGCGCAUCAUCCGUCCCCACUUGAUUUUGGGGAAGAUGAUAGAAAAGGGAAUUUGUGGGGUGGCACCUGAGGAGUUUUAGUUCAGGGAAGCAAAUGACUUCUGGACUGAGGAAGGUGGUUCUGCAGAUAUUCUGGAAAAUGGCCUUAAACAGUUAAUCCACUCCUCGGCCCCAUGCUCUUCAAUGAAAAGUGCUGGUACAAAAAUCCUCGGGAGUUCCUUUUCUUCUGGAAAUAUUGGAAAGGCACAAGCUGCAAAAUCUCUUUAUGAUUCUAGUCUAACAUCCCUUGUUUGUUUAGUGAUUCAAAGUCCAAAUGAAAGUCCAAAGCCUCCCCCUUACCACCCCAACCCCUCUUUUAUAAUUCAGAGAACUUUCUUCAGGAAAUUGCUGGUAUAGGUUUUCAAAGGUUUUGUUGCAAUUUGGCCAGGUCCUUCCUAGAAGGGAGUUGUUUCCCUAAAACCUGAGUUUAUCUUUAUAUCCACCUGACAAUCUGCCUUGGCCGGGGCUGUGUGCCACUUAUGCCCAGGACACGUCAACUAAAGCCUCGGUGUCCAUCGACAGAUGAAUGGAUAAAGAAGCUGUGGUCUAUGUACACAAUGGAAUAUUCCUCAGCCAUUGGAAACGACAAAUACCCACCAUUUGCUUCAACGUGGAUGGAACUGGAGGGUAUUAUGCUGAGUGAAGUAAGUCAAUCGGAGAAGGACAAACAUUAUAUGGUCUCAUUCAUUUGGGGAAUAUAAAUAAUAGUGAAAGGGAAUAAAGGGGAAAGGAGAAAAAUGAGUGGGAAAUAU
Vulpes vulpes (red fox) is the source of this 2435-nucleotide long non-coding RNA. NCBI's taxonomy places the organism in Eukaryota, Metazoa, Chordata, Mammalia, Carnivora, Canidae. The record is from Ensembl.